CCUACGGGAGGCUGCAGUAGGGAAUCUUCCACAAUGGAGGAAACCCUGAUGCAGCAACGCCGCGUGGGUGAUGAAGGUUUUCGGAUUGUAAAGUCCUUUUGUUAGAGAAGAUAGUGACGGUAUCUAACUAAUCAUCACCGGCUAACGCCGUGCCAGCAGCCGCGGUAAUACGAAGGGUGCACGCGUUACUCGGAAUCACUGGGCGUAAAGAGCGCGGAGGCGGGUGAGCAAGUCUGAUGUGAAAUCCUAUGGCUUAACCAGAGAAUUGCAUUUGAAACUGUUAUUCGAGAGUAUGGGAGAGGAAGGUGGAACUCUAGGUGUAGGGGUAGAAUCCGUAGAGAUCAAGAGGAAUACGCAUUGCGAAGGCGACCCGCUAGAACACAACUGACGCUGAUGCGCGAAAGCGUGGGGAGCAAACAGGAUUAGAUACCCUAGUAGUC
RNAcentral lists this ribosomal RNA (440 nucleotides) under uncultured bacterium. RNAcentral's name for it is "partial 16S ribosomal RNA". It matches the Rfam family "Bacterial small subunit ribosomal RNA", at positions 338 to 795 of the family's 1533-position model. The record is from RNAcentral.